This 710-nucleotide ribosomal RNA is filed under the name uncultured bacterium. RNAcentral's name for it is "bacterial SSU rRNA". It matches the Rfam family "Bacterial small subunit ribosomal RNA", at positions 125 to 851 of the family's 1533-position model. The record is from RNAcentral.
CCUGCCUUUCAGAGGGGAAUAACAUUCUGAAAAGGAUGCUAAUACCGCAUAAUGUCACAGUAUCGCAUGGUACAGUGACCAAAGGAGCAAUCCGCUGAAAGAUGGACUCGCGUCCGAUUAGCUAGUUGGCGGGAUAAAGGCCCACCAAGGCGACGAUCGGUAGCCGGACUGAGAGGUUGAUCGGCCACAUUGGGACUGAGACACGGCCCAGACUCCUACGGGAGGCAGCAGUGGGGGAUAUUGCACAAUGGGGGAAACCCUGAUGCAGCAACGCCGCGUGAAGGAAGAAGGUCUUCGGAUUGUAAACUUCUGUCCUCAGGGAAGAUAAUGACGGUACCUGAGGAGGAAGCUCCGGCUAACUACGUGCCAGCGGCCGCGGUAAUACGUAGGGAGCGAGCGUUGUCCGGAUUUACUGGGUGUAAAGGGUGCGUAGGCGGAUCUGCAAGUCAGUAGUGAAAUCCCAGGGCUUAACCCUGGAACUGCUAUUGAAACUGUGGGUCUUGAGUGAGGUAGAGGCAGGCGGAAUUCCCGGUGUAGCGGUGAAAUGCGUAGAGAUCGGGAGGAACACCAGUGGCGAAGGCGGCCUGCUGGGCCUUAACUGACGCUGAGGCACGAAAGCAUGGGUAGCAAACAGGAUUAGAUACCCUGGUAGUCCAUGCCGUAAACGAUGAUUAAUAGGUGUGGGUGGUCUGACCCCCUCCGUGCCGGAG